AGCUCCAAUAGCGUAUAUUAAAGUUGCUGCAGUUAAAAAGCUCGUAGUUGCAUUUCCGAGGCAAGGGAUUAGUCCGACCUUUGGUGGGUAUUUAAUCCUCUUGCCUCGUCCUUGAGUGGUGCUUCUUGGUAUUAAGUUAUCGAGGAGAUAGCCGCUCAUCGUUUACUGUGAGAAAAUUAGAGUGUUCAAAGCAGGCUUAUGCCGUUGAAUAUAUUAGCAUGGAAUAAUAAGAUAGGACCUCGGUACUAUUUUGUUGGUUUGAGAACCAAGGUAAUGAUGAAUAGGGACAGUUGGGAGUAUUCGUAUUCAGUUGUCAGAGGUGAAAUUCUUAGAUUUACGAAAGACAAACUACUGCGAAAGCAUUUACCAAGGAUGUUUUCA
RNAcentral lists this ribosomal RNA (381 nucleotides) under uncultured marine Chaetocerotaceae. RNAcentral describes it as "SSU rRNA". It matches the Rfam family "Eukaryotic small subunit ribosomal RNA", at positions 587 to 972 of the family's 1831-position model. The record is from RNAcentral. Lineage: Eukaryota; Bacillariophyta; Thalassiosirophyceae; Chaetocerotales; Chaetocerotaceae.